CCCCUCUCAGGGUCGCCCCUGGAGAGUUUCCAGUACUCUACCAGUCACGACUACAGGAGGGAGAGUCAAGCAGAGGCCUAUUCAUUACUUUCCUAGCUUAGGCAGUGGCUAGUGAGUGGAAGGCAAUCUGCUACAUGU
This 138-nucleotide small nucleolar RNA is filed under the name Ornithorhynchus anatinus (platypus). Lineage: Eukaryota; Metazoa; Chordata; Mammalia; Monotremata; Ornithorhynchidae. The record is from RNAcentral.